CGGACGGGUGAGUAACGCGUAAGGAACUUGCCCUGCAGUCAGGGAUAACAGACGGGAACGACUGAUAAGACCUGGUAAAGUCAGGUGGACUCAUGUCCAGCCUGAUGAAAAGAGAUGCUGCAGGAGAGCUUUGCGUCCUAUUAGCUUGUUGGUGGGGUAACGGCCCACCAAGGCGAUGAUAGGUAGCCGGCCUGAGAGGGUGAACGGCCACAUUGGAACUGAGAAACGGUCCAA
RNAcentral lists this ribosomal RNA (234 nucleotides) under uncultured Fusobacteriaceae bacterium. RNAcentral's name for it is "partial 16S ribosomal RNA". It matches the Rfam family "Bacterial small subunit ribosomal RNA", at positions 99 to 334 of the family's 1533-position model. Lineage: Bacteria; Fusobacteriati; Fusobacteriota; Fusobacteriia; Fusobacteriales; Fusobacteriaceae. The record is from RNAcentral.